AUUAUUAAGGCCUUUAUUUUAUUUCCUUCCAAUUUUUAACAGAAAAGGGUAACAGAAAUAUUAAUGAAGGAGAUAUCAUAAUUGAUCUUAAAAUGGUGGCACAGAAUCGGAGGCCCCGACUGUUUACUAAAAACACAACACAGUGCAAUCAUUAAUAUGGUAGUAUACUGUGUGAAAUUUGCCCAAUGCCAUUAAUAUAAAAGCGGUCAUAGGAAACUGUGACUAAUUGAAAAUCUGGUUAAUAGCGGUCUUAACCAUGAGGAUCCUAAGGUAGCAAAAUAAAUUGGCCAUUAAAUGUGGUCCGGUAUCAAUAAUGUAACGAUGGCCUCACUGUCUCUACAACUUGCUCAGUGAAAUUGAAUUACGCGUGCAG
Molecule: ribosomal RNA, 373 nt
Filed under: Amanita calyptrata
Lineage: Eukaryota; Fungi; Basidiomycota; Agaricomycetes; Agaricales; Amanitaceae
Description: LSU rRNA
Rfam family: Bacterial large subunit ribosomal RNA
Source: RNAcentral